RNAcentral lists this ribosomal RNA (432 nucleotides) under uncultured bacterium. Its description in RNAcentral is "partial 16S ribosomal RNA". It matches the Rfam family "Bacterial small subunit ribosomal RNA", at positions 29 to 506 of the family's 1533-position model. The record is from RNAcentral.
AACGAACGCUGGCGGCAUGCCUAACACAUGCCAGUCGAACGAGACCUUCGGGUCUAGUGGCGCACGGGUGCGUAACGCGUGGGAACCUGCCCUUAGGUUCGGAAUAACUCCCCGAAAGGGGUGCUAAUACCGGAUAAUGUCUUCGGACCAAAGAUUUAUCGCCUUUGGAUGGGCCCGCGUUGGAUUAGCUAGUUGGUAGGGUAAAAGCCUACCAAGGCGACGAUCCAUAGCUGGUCUGAGAGGAUGAUCAGCCACACUGGGACUGAGACACGGCCCAGACCCCACGGGGGGGAAGAGGGGGGGAAAUUGGGAAAAGGGGCGAAAGCCUGAUCCAGCAAUGCCGGGGGGGUGAGGAAGGCCUUAGGGUUGUAAAGCUCUUUUACCCGGGAUGAAAAGGACAGUACCGGGAGAAUAAGCCCCGGCUAACCCCGG